Molecule: long non-coding RNA, 336 nt
Filed under: Phoenix dactylifera (date palm)
Lineage: Eukaryota; Viridiplantae; Streptophyta; Magnoliopsida; Arecales; Arecaceae
Description: long non-coding RNA (PDAC_LNC016423)
Source: RNAcentral
CGACUUGACGUCUCUCUCCUACUUUCCCAUCCGUCCUUGGCACCCUGUGAACGUGGAAUCCGCCAUUGGAGUUCGAGAGAGGUGAGGAGCAACGGAACGGAAAUCACGGGGAAUAAAGUGGGGGCUAUAAUGGCAAGUGCCGGCACUGGGAAGGGGCCAGUUGGAACGGGGGCUAGUUGAAGAACCCUUCGCUCUCUCUUUCUCUCUCUCACACUCUCACUACCACUUCACUGUCACACAUACUCUCUUCUUGGCGAGAGACCAGAGAACAAAGCGCGGGCGAAGAGAAGAGGAAAUAGUACGUAGAGAGAGAUGCAGAGGCGCAGGCAAAGCGCU